Molecule: ribosomal RNA, 251 nt
Filed under: uncultured prokaryote
Description: partial 16S rRNA
Rfam family: Bacterial small subunit ribosomal RNA
Source: RNAcentral
ACGUAGGUGGCGAGCGUUGUCCGGAAUUACUGGGCGUAAAGGGAGCGUAGGCGGUUUAUUAAGUGGGAUGUGAAAUCCCCGGGCUUAACCUGGGAAUUGCAUUCCAAACUGGUAGACUAGAGUGCAGGAGAGGAAAGUGGAAUUCCAAGUGUAGCGGUGAAAUGCGUAGAGAUUUGGAGGAACACCAGUGGCGAAGGCGACUUUCUGGACUGAUACUGACGCUGAGGCUCGAGAGCGUGGGGAGCAAACAG